RNAcentral lists this ribosomal RNA (491 nucleotides) under Alcaligenes sp. SAD2. RNAcentral's name for it is "bacterial SSU rRNA". It matches the Rfam family "Bacterial small subunit ribosomal RNA", at positions 30 to 508 of the family's 1533-position model. The record is from RNAcentral. Lineage: Bacteria; Pseudomonadati; Pseudomonadota; Betaproteobacteria; Burkholderiales; Alcaligenaceae.
AUUGAACGCUAGCGGGAUGCUUUACACAUGCAAGUCGAACGGCAGCACGAGAGAGCUUGCUCUCUUGGUGGCGAGUGGCGGACGGGUGAGUAAUAUAUCGGAACGUGCCCAGUAGCGGGGGAUAACUACUCGAAAGAGUGGCUAAUACCGCAUACGCCCUACGGGGGAAAGGGGGGGAUCGCAAGACCUCUCACUAUUGGAGCGGCCGAUAUCGGAUUAGCUAGUUGGUGGGGUAAAGGCUCACCAAGGCAACGAUCCGUAGCUGGUUUGAGAGGACGACCAGCCACACUGGGACUGAGACACGGCCCAGACUCCUACGGGAGGCAGCAGUGGGGAAUUUUGGACAAUGGGGGAAACCCUGAUCCAGCCAUCCCGCGUGUAUGAUGAAGGCCUUCGGGUUGUAAAGUACUUUUGGCAGAGAAGAAAAGGCAUCCCCUAAUACGGGAUGCUGCUGACGGUAUCUGCAGAAUAAGCACCGGCUAACUACGUGC